Molecule: transfer RNA, 74 nt
Filed under: Enterococcus sp. FZMF
Lineage: Bacteria; Bacillati; Bacillota; Bacilli; Lactobacillales; Enterococcaceae
Also listed under: 1 other name
Description: tRNA-Ile
Rfam family: tRNA
About the family: Transfer RNA (tRNA) molecules are approximately 80 nucleotides in length. Their secondary structure includes four short double-helical elements and three loops (D, anti-codon, and T loops).
Source: RNAcentral
GUACCUUUAGCUCAGUUGGUUAGAGCAGACGGCUCAUAACCGUCCGGUCGUAGGUUCGAAUCCUAUAAGGUACA